CAACAUGAAUUCUCCCCACCCCUAUCCCCGAUAGAGAUCGAGUUGCCCUGUGACCACAGCAAGAAGAGGCUGGAAGAUGAGAUGAUAAAUGAUGACAAAUCAUAACCAUAAAAUCAUUUCCCUUCCCUUUUCUGGAACGCAUUACAACUAGCAAAAUAUUUUUAAAUUUGUGGCCUCAUUUGAUCCUCUCAGUAUAGCUAUUUUUUGCUCUUUCCUGUCUAAAGGAAUCCCUUUAGAAUGGCUUCAUAGAAACACAGUCCUGUAGAAUUGGAAGAUACCAGAUAAACUAUUUUUUUCUUUAAAGUAAUAAUAUUACAGAAAUAAACAUCUUAGCCCAGAGGGUGUGAAAUUAAUGAAAUUCUUUUUUUUUUUACAAUGAGGAAGCUGAGGCCAGGAACAUUUCAGUAACUUGAUUAGUCACAGAAACGGAUCCCUGGUUGCCUGAAUCUCAAUGCACUGUUUCUCCCAUGCUUCUAUCUGCCUCUCAGACGUACAGUCAGGUUAGAGUCCCACCAUUUUUUUUUUGGCCUAAGGCAAGUUUGACAUAUGGGAUUCAUUUUAUGUUCUAACUCCAGUAUGUCUGAAGCAGUUACCAAAAGCGUUGUGUGGAGCAGGGCUUAAUGGGAACAAGUGUCAUACUUGAUUACUGACGUCUGCCACGGACGCAGGUUGGAGAGAGUAGCAGCACUCACGUCUCCUGCCCUGGGUGAAGACACUGCCACUCCAGGAGACUUUUUUCUUCUUUUAAUAGAAACACCUUUUGGAAUACUGUAUCACAUUAACAACUUGUGGGCAAUUUAUUCUUCUAGAAAUGGCAAGUGCAAGAGACCAAGGCAAAUUGUACAAACACACUGAAAGCCACGGCUCAUGCCAAAGGCGCUAACAUUCCGCUGGCUUAAGCGGGUCAUGUGCUCAUCGCAGCAUCACUGCUGUGGAGAAACGGGCUUCACUUACUCGGACGCAGCAUUACUGCUAGGUUAUCUGGUAAAGCGCAUCCACGUGUGUGCCUUCUAUACGGAGGGAGCGAAGAGGGUGAACAAUACUCAGUCUAGAAAGUCACCAAGUAACUUGAGUGUACGGAUUCAGCCUGAUGAAUCCUCCUUUCUCCACUGUCUGGCAUGCGAUAAAAAGGACAGCUAGCCCAGGGAAAAAAGAAAGAAAAAGCCGAGUAUUAGAAGAGCCUGCAUGGAAGUUGAACCCUGUCUGGCACACAAAGGAAUUCAGAAGCCUCUAUUUCCCUUAGCAAGAACUCAGGUGUUCUUUUAUACUUGAGUUACAAACCACACAGGAAAGAGUCAAGGCUUGGAGCAUUUAAGGUCAAACUUGGCUUGCAGCUCUGAAGACUUCCAAGAAAGAAAGUCUGAGCUUAUUACACAGCAGAAGCCACAGGCUCUUUUCAAGCUAGGAAAUUUAUUCAGAGGCUCAAAAUAAAGCCGCUGGAUGGAACCAACUGUCCUCUGUCCAGUCACUGCACC
RNAcentral lists this long non-coding RNA (1475 nucleotides) under Callithrix jacchus (white-tufted-ear marmoset). RNAcentral's name for it is "lncRNA (ENSCJAG00000069370.2)". The record is from RNAcentral. Lineage: Eukaryota; Metazoa; Chordata; Mammalia; Primates; Cebidae.